GACGAACGCUGGCGGCGUGCUUAAUACAUGCAAGUCGAACGGAGUUAAGGGUUUCGGCCUUUAACUUAGUGGCGAACGGGUGAGUAACGCGUGAAUAACCUGACUCAAAGAGGGGGAUAACAACGGGAAACUGUUGCUAAUACCGCAUGAGACCACAACACCGCAUGAUGAAGGGGUCAAAGAUUUAUCGCUUUGAGAGGGGUUCGCGUCCCAUUAGGUAGUUGGAGGGGUAACGGCCCACCAAGCCAACGAUGGGUAGCCGAGCUGAGAGGCUGAUCGGCCACACUGGAACUGAGACACGGUCCAGACUCCUACGGGAGGCAGCAGUAGGGAAUAUUGGGCAAUGGGCGCAAGCCUGACCCAGCAACGCCGCGUGAGGGAAGAAGGUUUUCGGAUUGUAAACCUCUGUCCUAUGUGACGAAGGAAGUGACGGUAGCAUAGGAGGAAGCCCCGGCUAACUACGUGCCAGCAGCCGCGGUAAUACGUAGGGGGCGAGCGUUGUCCGGAAUUACUGGGCGUAAAGGGUGCGUAGGCGGUUUGGUAAGUUGGAUGUGAAAUACCCGGGCUUAACUUGGGGGCUGCAUCCAAUACUGUCGGACUUGAGUGCAGGAGAGGAAAGCGGAAUUCCUAGUGUAGCGGUGAAAUGCGUAGAUAUUAGGAGGAACACCGGUGGCGAAGGCGGCUUUCUGGACUGUAACUGACGCUGAGGCACGAAAGCGUGGGGAGCAAACAGGAUUAGAUACCCUGGUAGUCCACGCCGUAAACGAUGA
This 770-nucleotide ribosomal RNA is filed under the name uncultured bacterium. RNAcentral's name for it is "bacterial SSU rRNA". It matches the Rfam family "Bacterial small subunit ribosomal RNA", at positions 28 to 812 of the family's 1533-position model. The record is from RNAcentral.